RNAcentral lists this ribosomal RNA (249 nucleotides) under uncultured bacterium. RNAcentral describes it as "partial 16S ribosomal RNA". It matches the Rfam family "Bacterial small subunit ribosomal RNA", at positions 524 to 772 of the family's 1533-position model. The record is from RNAcentral.
UACGUAGGUGGCAAGCGUUGUCCGGAUUUACUGGGUGUAAAGGGCGUGCAGCCGGAGAGACAAGUCAGAUGUGAAAUCCACGGGCUCAACCCGUGAACUGCAUUUGAAACUGUUUCCCUUGAGUGUCGGAGAGGUAAUCGGAAUUCCUUGUGUAGCGGUGAAAUGCGUAGAUAUAAGGAAGAACACCAGUGGCGAAGGCGGAUUACUGGACGAUAACUGACGGUGAGGCGCGAAAGCGUGGGGAGCAAA